This 170-nucleotide ribosomal RNA is filed under the name Naso annulatus (whitemargin unicornfish). RNAcentral's name for it is "partial small subunit ribosomal RNA". The record is from RNAcentral. RNAcentral also lists the same sequence under 1 other name. Lineage: Eukaryota; Metazoa; Chordata; Actinopteri; Acanthuriformes; Acanthuridae.
CACCGCGGUUAUACGAGAGACCCAAGUUGUUAGACACCGGCGUAAAGAGUGGUUAGGGAAGUUCAUCCGACUAGAGCCGAACACCUUCAAAGCUGUUAUACGCACCCGAAGGUAAGAAGCCCAACUACGAAAGUGGCUUUAUGUUAACUGAACCCACGAAAGCUAGGACA